UGCGGGGUAGUUUCUGUCGGUAGAAAUACGUGGCUUUGAACCACGGGUCCGCAGGUUCGACUCCUGCCCCCGCAG
Molecule: transfer RNA, 75 nt
Filed under: Candidatus Anammoximicrobium sp.
Lineage: Bacteria; Pseudomonadati; Planctomycetota; Planctomycetia; Pirellulales; Pirellulaceae
Description: tRNA-Gln
Rfam family: tRNA
About the family: Transfer RNA (tRNA) molecules are approximately 80 nucleotides in length. Their secondary structure includes four short double-helical elements and three loops (D, anti-codon, and T loops). Further hydrogen bonds mediate the characteristic L-shaped molecular structure. tRNAs have two regions of fundamental functional importance: the anti-codon, which is responsible for specific mRNA codon recognition, and the 3' end, to which the tRNAs corresponding amino acid is attached (by aminoacyl-tRNA synthetases). tRNAs cope with the degeneracy of the genetic code in two manners: having more than one tRNA (with a specific anti-codon) for a particular amino acid; and 'wobble' base-pairing, i.e. permitting non-standard base-pairing at the 3rd anti-codon position.
Source: RNAcentral